RNAcentral lists this unclassified non-coding RNA (506 nucleotides) under uncultured Entrophospora. RNAcentral describes it as "SSU rRNA". It matches the Rfam family "Eukaryotic small subunit ribosomal RNA", at positions 591 to 1092 of the family's 1831-position model. Lineage: Eukaryota; Fungi; Glomeromycota; Glomeromycetes; Entrophosporales; Entrophosporaceae. The record is from RNAcentral.
CCAAUAGCGUAUAUUAAAGUUGUUGCAGUUAAAAAGCUCGUAGUUGAAUUUCGGGAUUGACACAUCGGUCGUGCCUUAAGGGGUAUGAACUGGUGUAGUCAAUUUCUCACCUUCUGGAGAACGGCGAUGCCCUUAAUUGGGUGUCACGGGGAACCAGGACCUUUACUUUGAAAAAAUUAGAGUGUUUAAAGCAGGCAUUUUGCUUGAAUACUUUAGCAUGGAAUAAUAAAAUAGGACGGCAUGAUUCUAUUUUGUUGGUUUCUAGGAUCACCGUAAUGAUUAAUAGGGAUAGUUGGGGGCAUUAGUAGUCAAUAGUCAGAGGUGAAAUUCUUGGAUUUAUUGAAGACUAACUACUGCGAAAGCAUUUGCCAAGGAUGUUUUCAUUAAUCAAGAACGAAAGUUAGGGGAUCGAAGACGAUCAGAUACCGUCGUAGUCUUAACCAUAAACUAUGCCGACUAGGAAUCAGACGAUGUUAAUUUUUUAAUGACUCGUUUGGCACCUUACA